This is a non-coding RNA of Rattus norvegicus (Norway rat), 44 nucleotides long. The record is from Rfam. Lineage: Eukaryota; Metazoa; Chordata; Mammalia; Rodentia; Muridae.
UCAAAGGCCCUGAAGGGCCAUCAAUGUUUUCAAGAAAAAUCAGU